Molecule: transfer RNA, 69 nt
Filed under: Allobates talamancae (Talamanca rocket frog)
Lineage: Eukaryota; Metazoa; Chordata; Amphibia; Anura; Aromobatidae
Description: tRNA-Ala
Rfam family: tRNA
About the family: Transfer RNA (tRNA) molecules are approximately 80 nucleotides in length. Their secondary structure includes four short double-helical elements and three loops (D, anti-codon, and T loops).
Source: RNAcentral
AAGGCUUUAUCUUAAUAAAAGUGUUUGAUUUGCAUUCAGAAGAUGAAGAAUAAUAAUCUUCAAGUCUUG